GCCCACGUAGCUCAGCCGGCAGAGCACCUCAUUGGUAAUGAGGAGGUCACCGGUUCAAAUCCGGUCGUGGGCUCCA
This 76-nucleotide transfer RNA is filed under the name Nitrospinota bacterium. Its description in RNAcentral is "tRNA-Thr". It matches the Rfam family "tRNA". Rfam says of the family: Transfer RNA (tRNA) molecules are approximately 80 nucleotides in length. Lineage: Bacteria; Pseudomonadati; Nitrospinota. The record is from RNAcentral.